RNAcentral lists this ribosomal RNA (523 nucleotides) under uncultured bacterium. RNAcentral's name for it is "bacterial SSU rRNA". It matches the Rfam family "Bacterial small subunit ribosomal RNA", at positions 791 to 1318 of the family's 1533-position model. The record is from RNAcentral.
UAGUCCACGCCGUAAACGAUGAUUACUCGAUGUUCGAUUCCUUGUGGAUUGAGCGUCCAAGCGAAAGCGUUAAGUAAUCCACCUGGGAAGUACGGUCGCAAGGCUGAAACUCAAAGGAAUUGGCGGGGGUCCGCACAAGCGGUGGAGUAUGUGGUUUAAUUCGAUGAUAAGCGAGGAACCUUACCCAGACUAAAUCCUAGACGACAGACCCAGAAAGGGGUUUUUCUUCGGACGGCUAGGAAGGUGCUGCAUGGUUGUCGUCAGCUCGUGCCGUGAGGUGUUGGGUUAAGUCCCGCAACGAGCGCAACCCUUACCUUUAGUUGCCAGCACAUAAUGGUGGGAACUCUAGAGGAACUGCCUUCGUAAGGAGGAGGAAGGUGGGGAUGACGUCAAAUCAUCAUGGCCCUUACGUCUGGGGCUACACACGUACUACAAUGGUCGGUACAAAGGGUUGCUACCUGGUGACAGGAUGCCAAUCUCUAAAAGCCGAUCUCAGUUCGGAUCGUAGUCUGCAACUCGACUA